AGAGAUGAAGUAUUAAUCUUUGUACAUUUUAUUUACAUUAAAAAGGAUUUCAAAUGAAACAUCUCUA
RNAcentral lists this transfer RNA (67 nucleotides) under Thuridilla gracilis. RNAcentral's name for it is "tRNA-Val". Lineage: Eukaryota; Metazoa; Mollusca; Gastropoda; Plakobranchidae. The record is from RNAcentral.